UCUCCCUCUGUUCCACCGCGCCCCUCCACUCCACUGCUCCUCCAGUCCUCUUCAGCCUCCAGCCCACGGGUUCUCUCUCUACGGCAUGGACCCUUUCCAUCUCAGCCUCUCUCCUCGACGGCCCUUUCUAUACUCGACGGUGAUAGACUAACGGUGUCAAAUGGCCUUGAAGUCUCGAACUUGGUUGCUCUCUUCCUCAAGCAGCAAAGCAGAAAGCCAGAAACUGUUGGUUACACUCUGGAUUCGGUUUCUGGGUUUUCACUUACAUUCUUGGUUUCACUCUUCAAGCUUGGUUAGGUUCUGAAAUCAAGCUUGAGUGUUCAAAUGAUUCUUGAGGCCGUCAUCUCAAAAAGUUUUAUCGCUAGUUGCUGAGUUGA
RNAcentral lists this long non-coding RNA (377 nucleotides) under Rosa chinensis. RNAcentral's name for it is "sRNA RchiOBHm_Chr3g0451241". The record is from RNAcentral. Lineage: Eukaryota; Viridiplantae; Streptophyta; Magnoliopsida; Rosales; Rosaceae.